RNAcentral lists this small RNA (92 nucleotides) under Arabidopsis thaliana (thale cress). RNAcentral's name for it is "ATSL040210". The record is from RNAcentral. Lineage: Eukaryota; Viridiplantae; Streptophyta; Magnoliopsida; Brassicales; Brassicaceae.
AAAAGCUAAAAGAGUAUUUCCUUGUUAGAAGAUACAAAGCCAAAGACUCAAACGGACUUCAGCUACCCCAUGAAAGCUUUGAGAAGCAAUAA